This 1474-nucleotide ribosomal RNA is filed under the name uncultured Bordetella sp. Its description in RNAcentral is "partial 16S-23S ribosomal RNA intergenic spacer". It matches the Rfam family "Bacterial small subunit ribosomal RNA". The record is from RNAcentral. Lineage: Bacteria; Pseudomonadati; Pseudomonadota; Betaproteobacteria; Burkholderiales; Alcaligenaceae.
GUUGAUCUGGCUCAGAUUGAACGCUGGCGGGAUUUAUGCAAGUCGAACGCGGCAGCACGGACUUCGGUCUGGUGGCGAGUGGCGAACUGGUGAGUAAUGUAUCGGAACGUGCCUAGUAGCGAGGAUAACUACGCGAAAGCGUAGCUAAUGCCGCAUACGCCCUUCGGGGGAAAAGCGGGGGACCUUCGGGCCUCGCACUGUAGAGCGGCCGAUAUCGGAUUAGCUAGUUGGUGGGGUAACGGCUCACCAAGGCGACGAUCCGUAGCUGGUUUGAAGGACGACCAGCCACACUGGGACAUUGAGACACGGCCCAGACUCCUACCGGGAGAGGCGGCAGUGGGGCUGGACAAUGGGGAAGCCUGAUCCAGCCAUCCCGCGUGUGCGAUGAAGGCCUUCGGGUUGUAAAGCACUUUUUGGCAGGAAAGAAACGGCACGGGAUAAUACCCCGUGCAACGGUACCGCAGAAUAAGCACCGGCUAACUACGUGCCAGCAGCCGCGGUAAUACGUAGGGUGCAAGCGUUAAUCGGAAUUACUGGGCGUAAAGCGUGCGCAGGCGGUUCGGAAAAGAAAGAUGUGAAAUCCCAGAGCUUAGCACGGAACUUCCAUUUUUAACUACCGAGCUAGAGUGUGUCAGAGAGGUGGAAUUCCGCGUGUAGCGAAGUGAAAUGCGUAGAUAUGCGGAGGGAACACCGAUAGCGAAGGCAGCCUCCUGGGAUACUUACUGACGCUCAUGCACAGCGUACUGGGGAGCAAACAGGAUUAGAUACCCUGGUAGUCCACGCCUAAACGAUGUCAACUAGCUGUUGGGGCCUUCGGGCCUUGGUAGCGCAACUAACGCGUGAAGUUGACCGCCUGGGGAAUGCGGUCGCAAAGAUAAAACUCAAAAUUGACGGGGACCCGCACAAGCGGUGGAUGAUGUGGAUUAAUUCGAUGCAACGCGAAAAACCUUACCUACCCUUGACAUGUCUGGAAUCCCGAAGAGAUUUGGGAGUGCUCGCAAGAGAACCGGAACACAGGUGCUGCAUGGCUGUCGUCAGCUCGUGUCGUGAGAUGUUGGGUUAAGUCCCGCCAACGAGCGCAACCCUUGUCAUUGAAUUGCUGCAGAAAGGGCACUCUGGUGAGACUGCCGGUGACAAACCGGAGGGGAAGGUGGGGAUGACGUCAAGUCCCUCAUGGCCCAUAUGGGUAGGGCUUCACACGUCAUACAAUGGUCGGGACAGAGGGUCGCCAACCCGCGAGGGAGUGAGGCUCAGAAACCCGAUCGUAGUCCGGAUCACGGUCUGCAACUCGACUGCGUGAAGUCGGAAUCGCUGGCAAUCGCGGAUCAGCAUGUCGCGGUGAAUACGUUCCCGGGUCUUGUACACCGCCCGUCACACCAUGGGAGUGGGUUUUACCAGUAGUUAGCUAACCGUAAGGAGGGCGAUUACCACGGUGCAGGAUUCAUGACUGGGGGUGAAGUCGUAACAAAGGUAG